RNAcentral lists this ribosomal RNA (440 nucleotides) under uncultured bacterium. RNAcentral's name for it is "partial 16S ribosomal RNA". It matches the Rfam family "Bacterial small subunit ribosomal RNA", at positions 338 to 795 of the family's 1533-position model. The record is from RNAcentral.
CCUACGGGAGGCAGCAGUGGGGGAUAUUGCACAAUGGGGGGAACCCUGAUGCAGCGACGCCGCGUGGGUGAAGGAGAGCCUCGGCGCGUAAAGCCCUAUCGGCAGGGAAGAAGAUGACGGUACCUGAAGAAGAAGCCCCGGCGAACUACGUGCCAGCAGCCGCGGUAAUACGCAGGGGGCAAGCGUUAUCCGGAGUUACGGGGUGUAAAGGGGGCGCAGACGGGGCUGCACGCCAGGAGGGAAAGCCCGGGGCCCAACCCCGGGACUGCUCUUGGAACGGCCUGGCUGGCGUACAGGAGGGGCAGGCGGAAUUCCUGGUGUAGCGGUGACAUGCUUCGAUCUUAGGAGGACCACCGGUGGCGACGGCGUCCUGCUGGACUGUGACUGACGUUGCGGCCCGAACGCGUGGGGAGCAAACAGGAUUAGAUACCCUAGUAGUC